This 82-nucleotide ribosomal RNA is filed under the name Syzygium aromaticum (clove). RNAcentral's name for it is "partial 5.8S ribosomal RNA". It matches the Rfam family "5.8S ribosomal RNA", at positions 73 to 154 of the family's 154-position model. Rfam says of the family: 5.8S ribosomal RNA (5.8S rRNA) is a component of the large subunit of the eukaryotic ribosome. It is transcribed by RNA polymerase I as part of the 45S precursor that also contains 18S and 28S rRNA. Lineage: Eukaryota; Viridiplantae; Streptophyta; Magnoliopsida; Myrtales; Myrtaceae. The record is from RNAcentral. RNAcentral also lists the same sequence under 1 other name.
UGCAGAAUCCCGUGAACCAUCGAGUCUUUGAACGCAAGUUGCGCCCGAAGCUUCGGUUGAGGGCACGUUUGCCUGGGUGUCA